UAGGGAGACCUGCUGGAAUGACACCGAAAGCGAAAUGCGAAUAAGUGCAGACCAGACAUCCCAAGGUCGAGCGGCAUUGAUGGUUGAAUGGCUUUCAAACUCGGUCUAGGUGUGGGAGAUGGGCUAUUAGCUCAGGUGGUUAGAGCGCACCCCUGAUAAGGGUGAGGUCCCUGGUUCGAGUCCAGGAUGGCCCACCACGAAAACGGGGGUUUAGCUCAGUUGGUAGAGCGCCUGCUUUGCAAGCAGGAUGUCAGCGGUUCGAGUCCGCUAACCUCCACUGGAGCAAUGGUUGACCUAUUGAAGAUUUCAGCAACAGAUUCAGUGGAGCGAUUCGCUGGAAUGACUGCUGGGGUUUACCCAGUCAGAACCUUGAAAACUGCAUAG
Molecule: transfer RNA, 384 nt
Filed under: uncultured cyanobacterium
Lineage: Bacteria; Bacillati; Cyanobacteriota
Description: partial 16S-23S ribosomal RNA intergenic spacer
Rfam family: tRNA (bases 205-277)
Source: RNAcentral